GUGGGGUAAUGGCCUACCAAGGCUUCGACGGGUAGCCGGCCUGAGAGGGUGACCGGCCACGCUGGGACUGAGACACGGCCCAGACUCCUACGGGAGGCAGCAGUGGGGAAUAUUGGACAAUGGGCGGAAGCCUGAUCCAGCAACGCCGCGUGAGGGAUGACGGCCUUCGGGUUGUAAACCUCUUUCAGUAGGGACGAAGCGCAAGUGACGGUACCUACAGAAGAAGCACCGGCCAACUACGUGCCAGCAGCCGCGGUAAUACGUAGGGUGCGAGCGUUGUCCGGGAUUAUUGGGCGUAAAGGGCUCGUAGGCGGUUUGUCGCGUCGGGAGUGAAAACACUGGUCUUAACUCAGUGCUUGCUUCCGAUACGGGCAGACUAGAGGUAUUCAGGGGAGAACGGAAUUCCUGGUGUAGCGGUGAAAUGCGCAGAUAUCAGGAGGAACACCGGUGGCGAAGGCGGUUCUCUGGGAAUUACCUGACGCUGAGGAGCGAAAGUGUGGGGAGCGAACAGGAUUAGAUACCCUAGUAGUCCACACCGUAAACGUUGGGCGCUAGGUGUGGGGUCCAUUCCACGGAUUCCGUGCCGCAGCUAACGCAUUAAGCG
This 604-nucleotide ribosomal RNA is filed under the name uncultured Actinobacteridae bacterium. RNAcentral's name for it is "bacterial SSU rRNA". It matches the Rfam family "Bacterial small subunit ribosomal RNA", at positions 252 to 866 of the family's 1533-position model. The record is from RNAcentral. Lineage: Bacteria; Bacillati; Actinomycetota; Actinomycetes.